Molecule: non-coding RNA, 198 nt
Organism: Plectropomus leopardus (leopard coralgrouper)
Lineage: Eukaryota; Metazoa; Chordata; Actinopteri; Perciformes; Serranidae
Source: RefSeq, a predicted model, not a curated record
UCUGAGAGGAGCAGUCAGCUCUGAGAUGGACGCUCUCUCCGGCUGCAUCAGCAAGCUGUAACUGGACCUCUGGCAGGCGUGCACACACCGGCAGACUCACUCCGCUUCCGCAUCGCUCUCCCUUCUCCAUCUCUGUGUCUCUAUCCCUCCCUACUCUCUCCGCUGGUGGAUUUUAGCCCACUGCUGUGUGGAACACCG